Molecule: ribosomal RNA, 253 nt
Filed under: uncultured bacterium
Lineage: Bacteria
Description: partial 16S ribosomal RNA
Rfam family: Bacterial small subunit ribosomal RNA
Source: RNAcentral
UACAGAGGGUGCAAGCGUUAAUCGGAAUUACUGGGCGUAAAGCGUGCGCAGGCGGUUCGUUGUGUCGGCGGUGAAAGCCCCGGGCUUAACCUGGGAAUGGCCGUCGAAACUGGCGAACUGGAGUGUGGCAGAGGGGGGUGGAAUUCCGCGUGUAGCAGUGAAAUGCGUAGAGAUGCGGAGGAACACCGAUGGCGAAGGCAGCCCCCUGGGCUGACACUGACGCUCAGGCACGAAAGCGUGGGGAGCAAACAGG